Molecule: transfer RNA, 77 nt
Filed under: Verrucomicrobia bacterium UBA6775
Lineage: Bacteria; Pseudomonadati; Verrucomicrobiota
Also listed under: 5 other names
Description: tRNA-Pro(cgg)
Rfam family: tRNA
About the family: Transfer RNA (tRNA) molecules are approximately 80 nucleotides in length. Their secondary structure includes four short double-helical elements and three loops (D, anti-codon, and T loops). Further hydrogen bonds mediate the characteristic L-shaped molecular structure. tRNAs have two regions of fundamental functional importance: the anti-codon, which is responsible for specific mRNA codon recognition, and the 3' end, to which the tRNAs corresponding amino acid is attached (by aminoacyl-tRNA synthetases). tRNAs cope with the degeneracy of the genetic code in two manners: having more than one tRNA (with a specific anti-codon) for a particular amino acid; and 'wobble' base-pairing, i.e. permitting non-standard base-pairing at the 3rd anti-codon position.
Source: RNAcentral
CGGGACGUAGCGUAGCUUGGUAGCGCGCCUGGUUCGGGACUAGGAGGUCGGGGGUUCAAAUCCCCCCGUCCCGACCA